GAUAGAUCUUGACCUAAUGAACAUUUUUACCCCAUGUCAGAUUUACUCUAAAUGCUUUCGUUUUUGAGAUAUAAGCCAAAAACUGCAUUUGACCCCUAUGUUCUAUUUUAAGUAACGGCGGCCAUGUUUUUUGACGGAUCAAAAAUCGAAGCACACACUAUGUGCAGGAUAAUCUAAGGAACAGUCAUGCUAAGUUUCAUCGAAAUCCAUUCAGUAGUUUCAGAGGAGAAGAUUUUUUAAAGUUAGCAAAUGUGAUGAACAAAUUGUGAAAAAUUGUCAUUAAAUGACAAUAACCCCUUAAGGGGUCAAUUGACAAUUUUGGUCAUAUAACUUAUUUGUAGAUCUUACUUUGCUGAUCAUUUUUGCUGUUUACAGUUUAUCUUUAUCUAUAAUAA
Molecule: long non-coding RNA, 395 nt
Filed under: Mytilus galloprovincialis (Mediterranean mussel)
Lineage: Eukaryota; Metazoa; Mollusca; Bivalvia; Mytilida; Mytilidae
Source: RNAcentral